Dermochelys coriacea (leatherback sea turtle) is the source of this 2404-nucleotide long non-coding RNA. RefSeq lists it as uncharacterized. The transcript has 3 exons. The record is from RefSeq and is a predicted model, not a curated record. NCBI's taxonomy places the organism in Eukaryota, Metazoa, Chordata, Testudines, Dermochelyidae.
AUGCUUUUGUCCAUCUUUAGGUUGCCAAGAUACCUUUCCUCUUGGAUUCAGACCUACCUCGAAUGAACCUGGCUUUGUCACCACACUGCAGUAUUGUACCUCACUCUACCAUGGGCAGUCUCUGAAGGACAGCCAAGAAACACCAACUUGUUCUGAAUACAGCAGCUGCCUUUUGGGAAGGGGAAAUGAAGGAAUGAUGUCUGGAGUUGAUCUCACCCAGAAUUUCAGUGAAAUGGGCAAGGACUAAAGAGGCUUCUUUCAUAAGAAAUUUGCAGACAUCCAGUCAGAAGCAGAAACAGUACAAUGUGACUCAGGUGACUAACAACACAACACAACCAUCAAGAAGGAAUAAACAAUAGUCCAAGGGAGCAGUUACAAAUGAUCCACAGGCUAAAUACUUUUCAUCAAAUACAUUGCCAGAAAUUAGGUUUGGUUCAUGAACAAUUUAUGAAGAAAAAGGGGGGCUAAAUGCACAGUAAAUAUUAUUCUGAGAUAAUAAUAUGACCAACUUCUAACUGCAGCUAUUAUAUUCAGCUUGCUGGGGUGGGGAGGAGAGAAGGUGCUUAGCAUACUCUCUUGGGAGUCAAUAUGACAAGAGGCUCCUUAUUUUCUCAUUCUGAUUUAAUGAUGCUAGAGUCUCAUAGGAGAGAUGAGUGGUGUGCAAUGGACCUUGCCAAAACCUUGAAGACUCCAGUAAUGAAGUUUAGAGUUUAUAGUAGGUCAUUGCACAAUAUGAAAGUAGUUGUGGCAGAUACUUUUGGCUGAAGCCAUGGAGAAAGGGAUUCUACUAUCAGAAAUGAAGGGAGCAAAAAAGAACACAAAUACUAAUAAAAGGGCAAAAUUAGCUCAUCUUGUGGGUUACCCUAUUAAUAUUAAAUUAUUUGACAUUAGUUUCACAUUUCAAAUUACAAACCAUGGAAUCAGUUGGAAGAUCUAAAAGAUUUUCCCAGGCAAGGAAUUUCCCUGCUUGCAAGAUUGAAAUAGCUUUAGAUGAUUGCUUUCAUCUAUCUUUCUUUUCCUGAUACUAUCAUAGCCAUCAUAGCUAUUUCCAAUAACCUCUUAAAGAGCAAGUCAAACACUAAGAAUUUUUUAAAAUCUAAUGCUGGACUGUAGCUAUCAUUGUUUGGAAGGAAGUGCUGCUUAAGCUGUGAGCUAUACUUAGUACCGUGGGCCAAUUUUCUCAUGUCUUUUAGAGUUGCAAAGAACCACCUGCCUGAACUUGACAGGAAGCCAGAAGACAACUGUAUGAUUUACACCCACCACUUCCAUACGAGCUGUGGGAAUGUAAGCUUAACCACUAUUUUCUUAUUCAAAAGAUACCACUCGGAAAGAACUAUUAAAUAUAUUUUCUGCCCCCAUCAUUCUAAACAUAUGACAAGGAUAUAAUAGCUUUAAGGAAGUGCUUGUUUUUUUCCUCAUAAUACUCAUGACAUGUUAAUAUUUGGUUUAGACAAGAAGUAAUGUAAUGUAUUAUUUAAUAGCUGGAUUCUAAUCACUUAAGGCCUGAUCCAACCCCCAUUGGCAUAUAUGGCAAGUCUUCAGACCCUGGAUUGGACCAUUAGAUAGCUAAGUACAACCAAAGGCAUUUAAAUCAUCCAUCUCUAAAAGAAUUUGCAUGUAACUUGUUUACGUGUAUUAGCUAAUAAAUGAUGUCAUACCUCUGUUUUAUCGUAUGGACUAAUUUAUGGAGAAUUAUUGAGUAGUAUCAAGAAAACUGUAAAUUAUUCCUUUUGAAGAAGAAAUACAGCAACAAUAAGAUAAAGACCAUAGAAAUGAGAGAGAAAAUAACAUGGUAACUCAUUGUCACCAAUGAAAUAUAAUGUUAGAAACAUACUUAUAUAGUGCCUUUCAUUCUUAAAGAACCCAAGUACUUUAAAAUAUGAAUCAGAUUAAUACUCAAACCAGUGCAACACUUAUUCCUGGAGAAAUUCUGCAUCACUGCAUGUGCACAUAAUUAAUGAGUCACACAUAUUUUUAAUUUUUUGCACAAAAAAAGCUUCUGCUGAAAAGUUCUUAUAGUUCUGCCUUUGGCCCACCAGAGGGCUCUGUGACGCUAGAAUACAGCAGCCACUACCAACCAGCUAGGGAAGAGAAAGAGCCUGCCUUCUUCACAGUGCCUGUUGGGCCAGGUCAGGAGACAGGGGCUAUAGUGAGACAGACAGCAUGGGUAUGGUGGGGCGGAGGGUCAGACAGGGGCUCCAAGUUUACACCCAGGCUCCUUCUGAGCAACUAUUUCCCUCUCCCUCAGCUCCACCAUUACUCCAACUCCCCAGAGCCUUUGCACUGUUUCGGGUUGGGGGUGCAGGGGGGGGGGUGAUGCGGGAAAUAUGGUUCUGUAUUGUAGUUUAAAUGAAUUAUUACUUAGAGUUCUGUAUUAAUAUGCUUAGUAAGGAAUCUAUUUGUC